AACGAACGCUGGCGGCAGGCUUAACACAUGCAAGUCGAGCGCCCCGCAAGGGGAGCGGCAGACGGGUGAGUAACGCGUGGGAAUCUACCCAUCUCUACGGAAUAACGCAUGGAAACGUGUGCUAAUACCGUAUACGUCCUUCGGGAGAAAGAUUUAUCGGAGAUGGAUGAGCCCGCGUUGGAUUAGCUAGUUGGUGGGGUAAAGGCCUACCAAGGCGACGAUCCAUAGCUGGUCUGAGAGGAUGAUCAGCCACACUGGGACUGAGACACGGCCCAGACUCCGACGGGAGGCAGCAGUGGGGAAUAUUGGACAAUGGGCGCAAGCCUGAUCCAGCCAUGCCGCGUGGGUGAUGAAGGCCCUAGGGUUGUAAAGCUCUUUCACCGGUGAAGAUAAUGACGGUAACCGGAGAAGAAGCCCCGGCUAACUUCGUGCCAGCAGCCGCCGUAA
This 447-nucleotide ribosomal RNA is filed under the name uncultured bacterium. RNAcentral's name for it is "partial 16S ribosomal RNA". It matches the Rfam family "Bacterial small subunit ribosomal RNA", at positions 29 to 523 of the family's 1533-position model. The record is from RNAcentral.